AGGGAUUUGAAUUUGCCAAAGUAGUGAUUCAAGAUUUGAAAAAUAGAGGCUAUUCUGCAAUAGGUGCUGCAGGCUUUUGUUGGGGUGCCAAGGCUGCAAUUCAACUCGCAAAGUGCGACUCUAUUAAGGCUGCUGCCCUCUUACAUCAAUCUUACGUCACUGUGGAUGACAUCAAAGAGGUUAAGGUUCCAUUGGCAGUACUUGCAGCAGAGUUUGACCAUCCAGAGAUCGUCAAACAAUUUGAGGAGGUCUUAAAAGGAAAACCUGAGGUAGGAUAUUAUAUUUUUGUGUUUUCCAUUGGCUGUUGAGGGUUUGUUAGGAGUUGUGUUUACAGUGGCUGCAUUAACAGAUGAAGCAAUGGAUGUUGGUGAGGUUUUUUUUUUUUUUUUGCUGUAAGAGUUCUCUGAUAUGUCUACAAAUUAGUUUAUGAAUUUUGACCUAUAUCUAAUUUGUUCAUGAAAUUGUUUAAAAAUCAUGCUUUAAAGUUUAAUUAAGUGCUUGUUCUCUUUGUUUAAUUAACCCUGUUCAAUCCCCAAAUAACAUCCAGCCAUUUACUACAAUUCAGAGUUGUUUAAGUUCUUGGCACAAUGUUCCAGUGAUAUUUCAUUAUAAGUCUGUAAAAAUUAUAGUAUAGCAUUCAUUCAUUACCUGGGCUAAAUACAUGUUAGUUUGGAUUCAAAGUGGGUUAAUGAAAUCUUUUACAGGUCUUUGUUAAUUUUUAAGCAUCUCCAUUUUUUUUUUGUCUUUAGCACAUAUAAUCAUUAAGCUGUGCAAAAUAGCUAGUGGUAUGAGGUUCAUCUCAUCUGAUGUUCAUGCAUAUCUAUGUAAUAAUCUAUUUGGUUUUAAGGGAAAUAAUAUGUGUCUAAUGUCCAUAUGUGCUG
This is a long non-coding RNA of Humulus lupulus (European hop), 881 nucleotides long. RefSeq lists it as uncharacterized. The record is from RefSeq and is a predicted model, not a curated record. The transcript has 3 exons. Lineage: Eukaryota; Viridiplantae; Streptophyta; Magnoliopsida; Rosales; Cannabaceae.